CAUACAUCGACCAGAAAAGGUCAUCUACUGGAGAAAAUGAAAGAUUAUUACCAUAAAUGGAUAUUGACCAUCUUGAGCGUCGAUUCCACCAAUGAUUCUCAGAUUUGAAGCGACAUUUUCUAAUUCGAUCGAUUUUUACAAGAUGUACUAUUAUACCUCCGGCAGUGUCGACGACGGAAUUUGAAAAAGCGGAUCCAACCAAAAAAAGGAAGG
This is a long non-coding RNA of Daphnia pulicaria, 213 nucleotides long. RefSeq lists it as uncharacterized. The record is from RefSeq and is a predicted model, not a curated record. NCBI's taxonomy places the organism in Eukaryota, Metazoa, Arthropoda, Branchiopoda, Diplostraca, Daphniidae. The transcript is spliced from 2 exons.